Long non-coding RNA from Fundulus heteroclitus (mummichog), 1133 nucleotides. RefSeq lists it as uncharacterized. NCBI's taxonomy places the organism in Eukaryota, Metazoa, Chordata, Actinopteri, Cyprinodontiformes, Fundulidae. The record is from RefSeq and is a predicted model, not a curated record. The transcript has 3 exons.
UAUUUUCAAAAUUUACAUGGAAAGUGAUCAAAGUUUUUGUUUUAUUAUAUGCAAUAUUGGGUUCAAUGUUCAUCUUCUGAAAACUCAGGUACAAUGAAAAUCCCCCGCUAUUGUGUAUAUUUUUGGUUACAAAGACUGUUUGAGCUAUGCCAAAAUUUGUCAUAAAUGUUGUAAUUAUAAGCAACUUAUAAAUACGUUACACACUUAUUUUAGGGUACGUGCCGAUCAAGGGGUGGAAAAUGUGGACGUGGCACGACUUGUGUUUAUGAUUCGUGGAACAGGAAGAAGCAGUUUCAUAUCUGGGAAGAGUGUGCACAAUCAAAGGAUUGAGCGACUGUGGAGAGAUCUGUGGACGGCUGUGACGUGCAUCUAUUAUGAUGUGCUGCACUACCUAGAAGAAGAGGGAUACCUGGACAUUUCCAAUGAAGCCCAACUCUUCUGUUGCCACUAUGUCUUCCUGCCACGUCUGCAAGAUUUGGAUACUUUCCGCAGUGGCUGGGACAAUCACCCACUUCGGACUGAAAGCAACAUGACACCUAACCAGCUCUGGGUUCUUGGUCAUACACAUAAUCCAAUUCCUGAACCUCAUGGUGCCUUGACAGAGGGUGUACAGAUUCCCGAAAUCGAAUGGGAGGACAGCGGGCUUCCUCUUCACGAGGAGUCAAAUGUCACAGUACCAAACUCUAAUUUGCAACUGACUGACGAACAAAUGGCAGCUUUAAGAAAUGCAGUAAACCCAAAAUCCACAUCACUGUCUUUUGGAUGUGACAUUUAUAUUGCUGCAGUUCAGUUUUGUGAGCAGUUUUUUACUGUGUGAAAGUUAUCUUACAGGAAAAACACAUCACGGUUAUGAUUAGUUACUUAUAUACAAUCAUAUGUUAAAUAUGGUAAGCAUAAUUUACUUGGUUAUUAUUAUUCACUGAAGUUUAACUUGUACAUAAUUGCAAAAAAUGACAAAAUAAAUGCAAAGCAUGAUUUAUUUUGAAGAAUACUUAACAGGAUCUAGUUUUGUCUUUUUGCCACUAUCUUGGCUUCUGUUGAUUUUGAUUGCUCGGUUCUAAACAGCCCUUUGCCGUUAUUCAGCUAUUGUAUUGUUCAAUAAAAAUCUGAAAAUAAAAUGUUCAGCAAAUACA